This 28-nucleotide non-coding RNA is filed under the name Bombyx mori (domestic silkworm). The record is from RNAcentral. Lineage: Eukaryota; Metazoa; Arthropoda; Insecta; Lepidoptera; Bombycidae.
UUAUUUGUGUUAGCAAGGUAGCCCUAUC